This 267-nucleotide ribosomal RNA is filed under the name uncultured bacterium. RNAcentral describes it as "partial 16S ribosomal RNA". It matches the Rfam family "Bacterial small subunit ribosomal RNA", at positions 1235 to 1500 of the family's 1533-position model. The record is from RNAcentral.
GGCCAACAAAGAGAGGCAAGACCGCGAGGUGGAGCAAAUCUCAAAAAAGCCGUCCCAGUUCGGAUCGCAGGCUGCAACCCGCCUGCGUGAAGUUGGAAUCGCUAGUAAUCGCGGAUCAGCAUGCCGCGGUGAAUACGUUCCCGGGCCUUGUACACACCGCCCGUCACACCAUGAGAGUCGGGAACACCCGAAGUCCGUAGCCUAACCGCAAGGGGGGCGCGGCCGAAGGUGGGUUCGAUAAUUGGGGUGAAGUCGUAACAAGGUAAC